This 84-nucleotide non-coding RNA is filed under the name Peptococcaceae bacterium. Its description in RNAcentral is "c-di-GMP-II sequence". It matches the Rfam family "Cyclic di-GMP-II riboswitch aptamer". Lineage: Bacteria; Bacillati; Bacillota; Clostridia; Eubacteriales; Peptococcaceae. The record is from RNAcentral.
AACCACUAGGGAAGCCAUGAAACACGGCCUGUAACUGGACACUUGGGCCGUGCGGAGCUGGUAGUGUAACCGGCCCUCUUAAAU